Lonchura striata (white-rumped munia) is the source of this 301-nucleotide non-coding RNA. Lineage: Eukaryota; Metazoa; Chordata; Aves; Passeriformes; Estrildidae. The record is from RefSeq and is a predicted model, not a curated record.
UUCUAUUGGAUUCUGGAAAUAUGCAUUCAUUCAAAAUGUGCCUGAUCACUUGCUAAGAAAAAAAUGCAAAAACAUAUAUGCAAGAAUUAACUGAAAUUAGAUUUUGUACUUAUACCAGCAGCUGCAGAAGAACCUUAUCUGAGCUCUAGCAAUCCAGCCAAGGAACUGAAAUUACACAAAUGACUAAUGCAAAUAACUUCCUUAGAUGUCUUCAGCUCACAGUCAGUCCUACAGAGAUCAGACAACUGAAAAGAAGCUGUAUCUUCUCCUGUACGUUUUGAAAACAUGGAUAUUUUUACAC